AACGAACGCUGGCGGCAUGCCUAACACAUGCAAGUCGAACGAGGCCUUCGGGCUUAGUGGCGCACGGGUGCGUAACGCGUGGGAAUCUGCCCUUGGGUUCGGAAUAACAGUUAGAAAUGACUGCUAAUACCGGAUGAUGUCUUCGGACCAAAGAUUUAUCGCCCAGGGAUGAGCCCGCGUAGGAUUAGGUAGUUGGUGGGGUAAAGGCCUACCAAGCCGACGAUCCUUAGCUGGUCUGAGAGGAUGAUCAGCCACACUGGGACUGAGACACGGCCCAGACUCCUACGGGAGGCAGCAGUGGGGAAUAUUGGACAAUGGGCGCAAGCCUGAUCCAGCAAUGCCGCGUGAGUGAUGAAGGCCUUAGGGUUGUAAAGCUCUUUUACCCGGGAUGAUAAUGACAGUACCGGGAGAAUAAGCCCCGGCUAACUCCGUG
Molecule: ribosomal RNA, 433 nt
Filed under: uncultured bacterium
Lineage: Bacteria
Description: bacterial SSU rRNA
Rfam family: Bacterial small subunit ribosomal RNA
Source: RNAcentral